RNAcentral lists this ribosomal RNA (463 nucleotides) under uncultured bacterium. RNAcentral describes it as "partial 16S ribosomal RNA". It matches the Rfam family "Bacterial small subunit ribosomal RNA", at positions 28 to 507 of the family's 1533-position model. The record is from RNAcentral.
GAUGAACGCUGACAGAAUGCUUAACACAUGCAAGUCUUUGGCGAAGCUGUGCUUGCACAGCCUAGCCAAGGCGGACGGGUGAGUAACGCGUAAGGAACUUGCCCUGCAGUCAGGGAUAACAGACGGAAACGACUGAUAAGACCUGGUAAAGUCAGGCGGACUCAUGUCCAGCCUGAUGAAAAGAGAUGCUGCAGGAGAGCCUUGCGUCCUAUUAGCUUGUUGGUGGGGUAACGGCCCACCAAGGCGAUGAUAGGUAGCCGGCCUGAGAGGGUGGACGGCCACAAGGGGACUGAGAUACGGCCCUUACUCCUGCGAGAGGCAGCAGUGGGAAAUAUUGGACAAGGGGGGCAACCCUGAUCCAGCAAUUCUGUGUGCACGAUGAAGGUUUUCGGAUUGUAAAGUGCUUUCAGCAGGGAAGAAAAAAAUGACGGUACCUGCAGAAGAAGCGACGGCUAAAUACGUG